Molecule: ribosomal RNA, 480 nt
Filed under: uncultured bacterium
Lineage: Bacteria
Description: partial 16S ribosomal RNA
Rfam family: Bacterial small subunit ribosomal RNA
Source: RNAcentral
GACGAACGCUGGCGGCGUGCUAAACACAUGCAAGUCGAACGGUAAGGCCCUUUCGGGGGUACACGAGUGGCGAACGGGUGAGUAACACGUGGGUGAUCUGCCCUGCACUUUGGGAUAAGCUUGGGAAACUGGGGCUAAUACCGGAUAGGACCCUGGGAUGCAUGUCCUGGGGUGGAAAGCUUUUGCGGUGUGGGAUGGGCCCGCGGCCUAUCAGCUUGUUGGUGGGGUGAUGGCCUACCAAGGCGACGACGGGUAGCCGGCCUGAGAGGGUGACCGGCCACACUGGGACUGAGAUACGGCCCAGACUCCUACGGGAGGCAGCAGUGGGGAAUAUUGCACAAUGGGCGCAAGCCUGAUGCAGCGACGCCGCGUGAGGGAUGACGGCCUUCGGGUUGUAAACCUCUUUCAGCACCGACGAAGCGCAAGUGACGGUAGGUGCAGAAGAAGGACCGGCCAACUACGUGCCAGCCGCCGCCGUAA